Ribosomal RNA from Bison bison bison, 119 nucleotides. The record is from Ensembl. Lineage: Eukaryota; Metazoa; Chordata; Mammalia; Artiodactyla; Bovidae.
GUCUCCUGCCAUAUCAGCCUGAAGGCACCCAACCUCGUCUAAUCUUCGAAGCUAUGCAGGGUCAGGCAUGGUUAGUACUUGGAUGGGAGACCACCUGGGAAUACCGGGUGCUGUAGGCU